AGCUUUGCACAGUGACAGUAUUAUAGCCAAUGAGGUUUAUCCAAGGCAUAAUUAUUUCUAAUUGAAAACUUUUCCCAAUACCCCACCAUGACAACUUAAAAUAUGGUCGGCACUGGCAUUUUUUUUUCUUCUUUUUUGAGA
Small nuclear RNA from Callithrix jacchus (white-tufted-ear marmoset), 141 nucleotides. Its record names the gene U4. It matches the Rfam family "U4 spliceosomal RNA". Rfam says of the family: U4 small nuclear RNA (U4 snRNA) is a component of the major U2-dependent spliceosome. The structure of U4 snRNA from yeast and human has been reported. The record is from Ensembl. NCBI's taxonomy places the organism in Eukaryota, Metazoa, Chordata, Mammalia, Primates, Cebidae.